GAUGAACGCUAGCUACAGGCUUAACACAUGCAAGUCGAGGGGCAGCACAGUGUAGCAAUACACGGGUGGCGACCGGCGCACGGGUGCGUAACGCGUAUCCAACCUUCCCGUUACUCAGGGAUAGCCUUCCGAAAGGGAGAUUAAUACCUGAUGGUGUUCAAAUUUCGCAUGUUAUUUGAACUAAAGAUUUAUCGGUAACGGAUGGGGAUGCGUGACAUUAGGUAGAUGGCGGGGUAACGGCCCACCAUGCCUACGAUGUCUAGGGGUUCUGAGAGGAAGGUCCCCCACACUGGAACUGAGACACGGUCCAGACUCCUACGGGAGGCAGCAGUGAGGAAUAUUGGUCAAUGGCCGGAAGGCUGAACCAGCCAAGUAGCGUGAAGGAUGAAGGUUCUAUGGAUUGUAAACUUCUUUUAUACGGGAAUAAAACCUCCCACGUGUGGGAGCUUGUAUGUACCGUAUGAAUAAGCAUCGGCUAACUCCGUG
RNAcentral lists this ribosomal RNA (486 nucleotides) under uncultured bacterium. Its description in RNAcentral is "bacterial SSU rRNA". It matches the Rfam family "Bacterial small subunit ribosomal RNA", at positions 28 to 507 of the family's 1533-position model. The record is from RNAcentral.